AAUGAACGCUGGCGGCAUGCCUAACACAUGCAAGUCGAACGAAGCCUUCGGGCUUAGUGGCGCACGGGUGCGUAACGCGUGGGAAUCUGCCCUUGGGUUCGGGAAUAACAGUGGGAAACUACUGCUAAUACCGAAUGAUGUCGUAAGACCAAAGAUUUAUCGCCCAGGGAUGAGCCCGCGUAGGAUUAGCUAGUUGGUGUGGUAAAGGCGCACCAAGGCGACGAUCCUAGCUGGUCUGAGAGGAUGAUCAGCCACACUGGGACUGAGACACGGCCCAGACUCCUACGGGAGGCAGCAGUGGGGAAUAUUGGACAAUGGGCGAAAGCCUGAUCCAGCAAUGCCGCGUGAGUGAUGAAGGCC
This 360-nucleotide ribosomal RNA is filed under the name uncultured bacterium. RNAcentral describes it as "bacterial SSU rRNA". It matches the Rfam family "Bacterial small subunit ribosomal RNA", at positions 29 to 416 of the family's 1533-position model. The record is from RNAcentral.